GAGAAUAUAGAUCAGUGGUAGAGCGCGUGCUUAGCAUGCACGCAGCCCUGGGUUCCAUCCCCAGUGCCUCCA
RNAcentral lists this transfer RNA (72 nucleotides) under Camelus dromedarius (Arabian camel). It matches the Rfam family "tRNA". Rfam says of the family: Transfer RNA (tRNA) molecules are approximately 80 nucleotides in length. Their secondary structure includes four short double-helical elements and three loops (D, anti-codon, and T loops). Lineage: Eukaryota; Metazoa; Chordata; Mammalia; Artiodactyla; Camelidae. The record is from Rfam by way of RNAcentral. RNAcentral also lists the same sequence under 1 other name.